Molecule: non-coding RNA, 28 nt
Filed under: Mus musculus (house mouse)
Lineage: Eukaryota; Metazoa; Chordata; Mammalia; Rodentia; Muridae
Source: RNAcentral
UUUCACAGUCGAGGUAAAGUUUAUAACC